This 3007-nucleotide long non-coding RNA is filed under the name Sus scrofa (pig). RNAcentral's name for it is "lncRNA (ENSSSCG00025075984.1)". Lineage: Eukaryota; Metazoa; Chordata; Mammalia; Artiodactyla; Suidae. The record is from RNAcentral.
ACAAGAUGAGAAAAUACGCCUGAAAAAGAGAAACCUACAACACCCGAAAAUCGGCCUACAUCCCCAUAAAACCCUUUAUGCUUAAGUACACAGCUCCCCCAUCACCAUUAGGAAAUACAACAAAGAUUACCGUACUGUUACCAAAAAAAGGUGAAGAAACAAAGCAGAACCCACGAUACUGCCGACCUCACGGAUUUUUACCACACCACUGGCUCUCCCUGCCGGCCUUGCACACUGGGCUGCCGCUCUAGGACGCUCUAUCUAGCCUCCACACCGCCUGCUCGCCUCCUCCGCGGGGUUGCCAAGCCACGCCGCCAAGCCGCACGCUAGCUUCAUCACCACAUCGCACUGGCUUCCUCCUUCCUGGAAUCCUCUCCUAGCUUCACCUCCAACCGUUAGGGCUCCUUCCUUCUUCCUAGCUUCCUUCACCAAAUCGCACUGGCUCCCGGGCUCCUCCUUCCUAUCUUCACGAACUGCCGCUCGCUCCUCAGUCCUAGUUUCACCAAAAACUGGCUCCUGGAAUCCUGUCUGCUGCUGUCUUCCUAGGUUCUCUGAAUCCACUUCUGUGUAGCACCUGGUCAGCUGUUAAUUAGCGCCUAGUCCUCAGGGUUUAGAAAUUCAUCUUAGCUCAAAGUCCAAUGCAAAAAAUGUUAACUUGGUUAUCCUCGCUCUUGAAUUUAUCGUCCUUUAAGUUUUCCAGAAGAAACUAAACUACUGUAUGGAUUUAAGGCCUUUCAAAUUUUUAACUCUUCCGUCUACCUUAAUUUUUACAUCAGUCUUUUUAGUAGCUUUUUGCUGUGAUUUUAAAUUUACUUCCCUCUACAGCUUCGAGAUAUUCUUCUAAGUUGGUCUUGGUCUACUGUAGUUUAAAACCCUCUUCUCAGAUCUAACUUCUGCACCACCACAAAUUAAAGUUGAUGGGCUUUUUAAAUAAAUUUAACUAUUAAAAAUUAUUUUUCUUAGUUUUGCGUCUUGUACUUAUCCAAUUUUUUGGCUUCGGACUUUUCUAUCUUCCAAUUACUUGGACCUCUAUCUUGUAUGCUUGUCUCCAACAGCUUGUUUCUCAUUUUCUACCUCAAACACUCGAACAUCUUUUCAACCUUCUCUUUCUAGAUGUCUUCUGCCUCCUACCUUCUGGGCUUAGUUUUUUUCUGUCUUCUAAAAGCCGUAUUUUUUAUCUUCUAGUUUUCCUAUCUUCACUAAUCUUUUCUUCACCUUCCUGUACUUGUCUUCCGAGUUUUCCACUUCAAAUUUCUAAUCUUCUUUCUUCCUUUCUCACACUAUUUUUUAAGGACGUCUCCAUUUUCCCCUAAAAUAAGACCUUCUUAUUAAUUAUCAAAUCUACUCUCACGAAUUUAACUCAAAACUACAGCUCAGUAUUUUCGCUAAUUUAUAAUUCCUAGAGAAUAAGAGUAAUCCCUAUCUUAACAGAAAAACUUAUCUGCGGUCUCCUCAAGAAGCGUUUCCUGCCUCUCAGCCGUCUCUGCUCUCGCUGCCUCAAUGCCUGCCUCCCGACCCGCAGCGCGCGGCGUAUUUAUAGCCCAAGGACACCUCACACCCCCGUCAUCCAAUAACCCUCCGCCGCCUUUGUGAGGGAAGCAAAAAUAGUUCCUCGGAAGGAGUUAAAAAUAGAAUCUGGUUUAUAAGACUCUAGGUUUUUCCUUAACAGUUUAUAUAACUUGCUCGCAAACUCUGUACCCAGAUGUUUAAGUAGAUUUGAACUGAAAACUUGAGUAAAAACAAUGGAAACCACGUUUAAACAGACCAUCAAACAGCUGACAAAAACUCAGAAUUACUUGGAAAUGUUUUAGUAGCUUUUAAAAUACCUUCUGUGUUUCCUUGGAGUACAGUAGGUACAAUUUAGUGCUUUGGAGGCUAGGAAAGUAAAACUAAGUUUGCUGAUGGCCUUCAUUUCCAUUAUGUAACAGAGCUUCAGCCUCACAAAUAGAGCGGAGCCAUCUUAGAAGGACCGAAGGGUGGGAGUUUCGCCCCCAUGGGCCGCAGGUCCUGAGGAUUAUACCACACCGUCUUGAUUGCCAUUUUAUUCGUGAGAUCCGAUCAGCCCAGGUGAUCUAUGUAAGAAUUGGACUAAAUGUGGAAAUCCACUUCUGGAAAAUGUCUGACAGCCACUCUUUACCACUGUUGCCUGCAACAGAGCUGGUCACGCAUCGCAAGGGAUUAGGACCAAAAUUGAGGCAUCCAGGUGGGCUUAUCUUAAUUUGAAAAACUUCGUGUUUUUAUUGUUGAUUUAGUAGGUAGGAAACAUCAGCUAGGACACCCCUCCCCCCAUGCUUUUGGUUGUUGCCUUCUUGGGACAUUUUAAAUGAAGCCUGGAUUAACUUUUUCAAACGUGAACCGUCUCUAAGCUUCUAGGCCUGUCUCUCUAAAGUGUUCAAAACCUAAGUCCAAUCAAAACUAACUUUACAUGUCCUCUUUAAAUUAUCUGAAAAGGCCAGGUUUCACCUCCGAAGAUAUUGCGACCUUGAGCCGUCAGUGGGGGAGGGAACUUGUUCUCAAAUUAUUUACGAACCUUUACUGCUGGUCUGCUUUUCUAGGUUCUAAUGUUUUUACGUAUUUUGUAUUAUCUCUGGUUUGACUCCUUUUAAGACUUUUAAAAGUGGAGCUGGGAGGAAAAUAAAAUUUUUCUCCAAACCCAAAGCCUCCCUUUCUGCGGUUUUAUUUUUAAAGCACCCCGUGUUUCCCACCUGGGUGGAAAAGCGGAGGGAAGCGCCAGGGCGGAACUGGCUGCUGUGUCUCAAGGACUCUAGGAGAAGCCUCGGUCCCCAGGGCGGCAAAGGGGACCCGAGUGAGGCUUGAGGACUUAGAAAUGACAAUGGCGCCAGGGAGCGUCCCAGAUACCGGCUUCCAAGCGGCUAAAGCGGCUGAGGCGCGAAGAAGAAGCAGGUAAGAGGCCGAGCGGGGUGGGCGCGAGCCCCCGGGGCCGAGGGGGUGGGGGACGGGUUUCCCGGCCCAGCGCUGCCCGCGGCCGCAGAAAAGGGAGAAGCGG